UACGGGGGGGGCAAGCGUUGUUCGGAAUUACUGGGCGUAAAGGGCUCGUAGGUGGCCAACUAAGUCAGACGUGAAAUCCCUCGGCUUAACCGGGGAACUGCGUCUGAUACUGGAUGGCUUGAGUUCGGGAGAGGGAUGCGGAAUUCCAGGUGUAGCGGUGAAAUGCGUAGAUAUCUGGAGGAACACCGAUGGCGAAGGCGGCAUCCUGGACCGACACUGACGCUGAGGCACGAAAGCGUGGGGAGCAAACAGG
This 253-nucleotide ribosomal RNA is filed under the name uncultured bacterium. Its description in RNAcentral is "partial 16S ribosomal RNA". It matches the Rfam family "Bacterial small subunit ribosomal RNA", at positions 524 to 776 of the family's 1533-position model. The record is from RNAcentral.